ACUACGGGAGGCAGCAGUGAGGAAUAUUGGUCAAUGGGCGAGAGCCUGAACCAGCCAAGUCGCGUGAGGGAGUACUGCCCUAUGGGUUGUAAACCUCUUUUGUCGGGGCGCAAAAGCCGGACGUGUCCGGCUGUGAGAGUACCCGAAGCAAACGCAUCGGCUAACUCCGGGCCAGCAGCCGCGGUAAUACGGAGGAUGCGAGCGGUAUCCGGAUUUAUUGGGUUUGAAGGGGGCGCAGGCGGAUUUUUAAGUCAGCGGUCAAAGCGUGGGGCUCAACCCCAUCCAGCCGUUGAAACUGGGGAUCUAGAGUGUGCGAGAGGUAUGCGGAAUGCGUGGUGUAGCGGUGAAAUGCAUAGAUAUCACGCAGAACCCCGAUUGCGAAGGCAGCAUACCGGUGCACAACUGACGCUCAGGCACGAAAGCGUGGGUAUCGAACAGGAUUAGAUACCCCUGUAGUC
This 458-nucleotide ribosomal RNA is filed under the name uncultured bacterium. RNAcentral's name for it is "partial 16S ribosomal RNA". It matches the Rfam family "Bacterial small subunit ribosomal RNA", at positions 338 to 795 of the family's 1533-position model. The record is from RNAcentral.